Molecule: long non-coding RNA, 11321 nt
Organism: Homo sapiens (human)
Lineage: Eukaryota; Metazoa; Chordata; Mammalia; Primates; Hominidae
Exons: 5
Source: RefSeq, a predicted model, not a curated record
GGCGCCCCUCCCCAAGCCUGGCUGCCGCCUUGCAGUUUGAUCUCAGACUGCUGUGCUAGCAAUCAGCGAGACUCCGUGGGUGUAGGACCCUCUGAGCCAGGUGCAGGAUAUAAUCUCGUGGUGCACCGUUUUUUAAGCCCGUCGGAAAAGCGCAGUAUUCGGGUGGGAGUGAUCCGAUUUUCCAGGUGCCGCUCGUCACCCCUUUCUUUGACUCGGAAAGGGAACUCCCUGACCCCUUGUGCUUCACAAGUGAGGCAAUGCCUCGCCCUGCUUUGGCUCACGCACGGUGCGCGCACCCACUGACCUGCGCCCACUGUCUGGCACUCCCUAGUGAGACGAACCCGGUACCUCAGAUGGAAAUGCAGAAAUCACCCGUCUUCUGCGUCGCUCACGCUGGGAGCCGUAGACCGGAGCUGUUCCUAUUCGGCCAUCUUGGCUCUUCCCCCGGUAUUUUGCCACUCUAUCAAGAAAGUUAAGGACUCUCAAGCUUUUGGAUGCUUAGAAAAUACAUCAGAGGAGGACAGAAACUCAGAUAUCUCUGCAUCCUGAAUUCAUUGGUGGAAUUGCUACUGUGCCCAGUAAAAGCAUUUCAGUCAUGCAAGGAGAGGAUGUUAAGGUAAAGGAAUGAAACCGAAGACCAGAAAGUGGUAAAAAGCAGCAGUGAAGAAACCAAAACUAAAACAAACCAGCAAAGACCAUAUUCAGCUCACAGCCUUUCAGGAACUGAAGUAGAUCAUUGGCCCAGACUCUCCACUGAAUCCGAAGAAUGCUUUGCAGGGGAUGUUCAGAGGCUUACCUGAGAAUGAGAGAAAAAGAAAUGAGCAAAUGACUCCUGAUUAUCAGUGGGAGACAGGAAGCGACCAUUUAACAUCCAAAGGAAAACUCAGAGCAUUAAAUGUAUCUUUGCCGGUCUUCACCAAUCCAUUUUGGAAUGAACCAGGGUACAAAUAAUAAAUAAUGGCCUUGAAGUUCAAGUUUUCCCUUUCAUUUGCUAACCCUUUUAAAGAAGGAGGAGGGAGAAAGGAAAGGGAAGAGGAGCCAAACUGAUCUGAGUUGCCUUUUCAAAAAUUCUUGCAAGGCAGAGUCAACAACAAAAUGGGAGAAAAGAACCUCAAUGUUUAUAUGCCUGUGGAAAUCAUUCCGAGUGCUGUAUUCAGGUGAUACCAAUCUACGAUUGUCACCAUCUCUUUUUGCUUGAAAUUUGGAUUUUAUCUUGAAUUGUAUGUAAUCUUUCUUUCCCCAUGUCCAUAAGUUCCUGAAGAGAGAAGGAAAUGAGUUCAAUGUAUCCACUAUGGGAGAGUGUAGCAGUUAUAUGCCAUUUAAUAAGUUUGAAUAUUUUUGUUCUGUUCUUUGAAGACAGGAGGUUACAUAAAUGACAGAAAAUAAAGGAUAUUAAAGCUAAUUAUUGCAGUUAGCAAUAUCAUAAUAAAGAAGUCACCUCUCCUGCUGCCUCUGCUGAAGGGCAUAAUUUAAAAAAGUAAAGACCCAUCAUUGCUCACAAGAAAAGUCAGAAGUCAGCUUCUGAGUCUUAGGCAGGAAUGGCCUGAAUGUAAUUCACAAAGUUGGUGAGGUUCUCUUGUAUCCUCCAGGGCUUUAUCCGCAUUCCUUGAGCCAUGUACUCUCCAGCUCUGGGUCUUUACAUUACUCCUCCUGUAAAACUGAGCCAGCCAUCCUGCUAGGAAUGGAUUCCCAACUCCAUCAUUGUUCUUGCCUUUCCUAUGAGUAUCCUUGACUGCCUCUAUUCUAGUCACUCAGCCUUGCUAGUUUACACAACCCUUCCUCACUGGAACUUUCCACUACUCUUUGUUCCUUCCUUGGUAAAACAAUUGGCUAGUCUCAUCAAAUAAUGCCCAAUCAUUUUCCAGUAUGGGAUAAAGCUAAUAAGGAAGUUCUCCAUUCUUUACCAUGUAAUGUGCAUUUUUUUCUUUGAAAAUUAAUGUGUAUCUUUAGCAGUUUCUCAAAUAGUGGGAAAAUUGUUAAGCAAUAAGAAUUGCUUAACAGCGGAGAUUUCUAAAAUUCCUCACUACUCAUCUACUGACUCAAAGUCCUCAAAGCAGUUGCUCAACAAUCCUUUCUCUCUCUCCUUCAAAAUUCUCUUCCAAAUUCACAGGGAACUAUCCUGUCUCCUCAGUCAUCCCUACUCUUCCUCUCCUCUGGAUCUAGUUCUGUCUUCAAUAAGUUGUUCCCUGCCCUUUCCUUUAUAAGCUUCUAUAAAGCUGUAAUUUUUUAAUAUGAAAAUACUAAAUGCUAUAAAAUUAAAUCACACACUACAACCUUCCAGUCACACUAUUAAUUACUUCAUAAGUAUCUUGCAUAUAGGCUUCUGAAAACAGUGAUCUCUCUAUUUUGUAUUUCUAAGCUUUUAUAUUUUGUUCCAUAAGCAUGCCACUUCAUUUCAACAAACAUAUAACAAGUAUCUACAAUGGGCAAGAUCCCUUCCUAGGUGUUUGGGGAUACGUUAAAUAUGUCAGUCUCUGCCUUCAAGGAUUGUUGUGUCACUAAGAAUAAUUUAUCAAAGAUAGCUUCAUAGCAUGUCUUAGAUUGGUAGUUUUCUUAUCACUUGUUUUUGUUCAGUCUUCUGAACUUUUAUAAACUUCCUAGGGCCAGGACUGUGCCUUAUACUGUUCCAUAUUUCCCACAGUAUGAAGGUUGUAAAAUAAAUAGACCAGGAGUGACAUAGUUGGGGAAAAUAUCUCAAAGUCAAUUGUUCUGUUACACCCAUCUCUCUACUUGACUGGAACCAACAGGGACCUCAAUAUUCUUCCACUUUGGUCCAUUUCUCACACUGUCUUGUAUUUACUUCUGUAGUCAAAAAUCUGAUUAAAAAACAGCCUCUUUCCCCUGAAGCUCUCAAGUUAAAAAGACACUCACAGUUUAGUUUUCUGUACAAACUGUACAACAAAUUCCUGAGUAACUGCGAUUUUUCUGUAUUUUUUUAUCUUUGGCCUACAUAUACAGGUACACACACAUACACACACAUAUAUAUCUACUAGUACAGAUAUUUUAUUUUCUAUCUAUCUGUAUCCGUCUAUCUAUUCAUCUAUCAUCUAUCUAUUUAUUAGUCAUCCCCCCCACCCCAAAUGACAUGGCAUUCUCUCCCUGAAUUAAUUACAUCAGUUUUUACCACAGCCCUCUUACAUAGUGUAUGUGUGCACAUGAGUAUGUAGUAGGUAAAUCAAAAAUUAUCUCAGAUAUAAUCUGUUGACCAAAGUUGUACAUUUGCUAUUUGGCUCUGCUAAUCACCUGAAGAUACAGCAAGAAGGAACACCAUAGAAAACAGCUCAACGGGAAAAAUGUUCUUACAGAAUUUGCACUUGGUUACAUGGUAUAUAGUAAAACUUUAACAUUAAAAUUAGAAAACAGCUCAACGGGAAAAAUGUUCUUACAGAAUUUGCACUUGGUUACAUCGUAUAUAGUAAAACUUUAACAUUAAAAUUGCUGCCUCUCCUGUUGGUGGGUGGGGUGGUGGGAGGGAGAACAUUAGGAAAAAUAGCUAAUGCAUGCUGGGCUUAAUACCUAGGUGAUGGGUUGAUAGGUGCAGCAAACCACCAUGGCACAUGUUUACCUAUGUAACAAACCUGCACAUCCAGCACAUGUACCCCAGAACUAAAAAUAAAAUUUAAAAGAAAAGAAAAUUGCUGCUUCUUUAGAACAAAGAUUCCCAAAGCAAGGGACAAAAUAGCAUAGACAAGAUUUUUUAAAGUAUAUUUAAUAUUUUAAAUACUUUAAAAAGGAGAAUUAUUACAAGUUCUUUAAAACAACCAUUUAAAUAUAAGCAAUUUGCUUGAUGCCAACCAUUUUUGUCUACUUGUUAAGGCUCCACUGGCAAGUGAGGUUAGCCUAUGUAUGGUACCAUUACAAUUCAGUUAUAUAUUACGCAGAUAUCUUAGUUGAGUUGAUGGAUAAUUGUUUAGCUUGUAUUUUUUCUUACUCAAAUAUUUUAGCAACUCGGUGAAAAAGUUGUGUAUGUGUUUUAAAUAUAUAUUUGAUUAUUUUAAAACCUGGAUUUAAGCUGUAUUCUACAUGACUAAGCAAUCUAAAAAUCAGCCUGUUGUUGUAUAUAAGACUUGCACAUACAAUUUGUUUGGAAUGUACAACAUUCUGCUUUGUAUUAUCGUUGUGUAUAUUGCUAACUUCCCUUACUAUACUGUAAGCUCUUUGGCAGGUCACAUAACUAAUCCAUCUUGGUAACCUCUGAAAAGCCUAGCAGAGUGUUUUGCACAUUGUGUGCUUUCAGUACAUGCUAAAUUAAUGAACUAAACUAGCUUCCAAGAGACCUCGCCUAAGCAAUACUUCAACAUCUAUGUUCUAAGUACUUCAUGUACUUGAAAGUAAUAUAACUACAUGUCUUUAAAAUGCACUUAAUAAUUCAUAUUUUUCACUAUUUCUGACUUGUCAUUUCAUCCAACUUAAUCUGAGACAGUGAGGUUAUGCUGUUUAUCUUUACACAGAGAAAUCAAACACACAUUUGAUACCCACCAAGAUUCUUUCAAAAGACAUAUGGAGAAGAAUGAAUGCAGAUAAAGUUAGUUACAGCAUUGCAUAUCUUUCUCUAAUGCAGUUAGAAGGGAACUUUGAGAUCAUCGUCUCAUCCUCUCAUCUUCUCACUCUAGAUGAGAAAUAGAGGGCACAGUUUUAAAUGACUUGUCCAAGAACACACACUGACUGUUGGCAGAGCUUGCAAUGUAGUCCAAGUGCCUGCCUCUAAGUUUAAUGCUUUUUCCAAUAUAGCAGCUAUCUGUGGCCCUUACAUUGUGAGACCCCUGUCAUAUCUUCCUGAGGGGCUUUUUCUUGGCUUUCAACCUCUUCCCUUUUCCAUUUUUUUUCUGUAGACUUUUGCCAUAUUUGUUUUCCCUAAGCAUAGGUGUAUUCAUUACACAACUUUGCUUCAAAAUAUGAAAAGGUCCCCAUAAUCUACCAAUUUAAAUGGUUCUCAAUAGGGUGAAGUUGUGCCCCAGAGGGAGCAUUUGGUAAUAUCUGGGACAUAUUUACUUCUCAAAACUGAGGGAUGUGGUGUUAUGGGCAUCUGGUGGUAUAGACCAGGCAUUCUUCUAACCAUCUUACAGUGCAUAGGACAUCCCCCACAACAAAGAAUAAUCUAGUCCCAAAUGUCAAUAGUGCUGAGAUUAAGAAAACUUAUUCUAGAAUUAGAGGAUUUUCAGGUCCUGAUCUUAACUUUCUUUUCCAGAAUUAUUUCCUACAACCUUCCCACACUUAGAAACAUUGAUUGAAGUGCUUUCUAUUUUUUAUAGAUGUGCUAUACUUUCCUAUUGCCCUGAUUUUGCUUAGCUUGAAAUGGUUUUCCUCAUCUGUCUACAUUUUUCUUAUUUGUUAAAGACUGAAGUAUAUAACCUGCUCCAUAAAAACCUUCUUUGAUCCUUACAACCAGAUCAUCUUUUCUCUUUUCAAGGCUCAUAGAAAUAUGAAUGCAGACUGUUUUUAUUUUUGAAAAUCUUAUAUAUUAUUUUGCCAAAGUCUGAUUGUUAGACUCUGAGGAAUCUGUGAGAAAAUGUACACUAAGUUUGGAGUCCAAAGACUUCUAACUCCACCAUUUACUAAAUAUGUUUAACCUUGCACAUGUCAUUGCACCCCAGUGGGCCUCAUACUUUUCAUCACUGAAAUGGGACUAAUAAUGCCUACUUCCUAAAGGUGGUCAGAGGAUGAAGUAAAAUUUUAUGAAUAAAAGUGCUUUGUAAGUUUUAAAGCACUAUGCCAAUAUGAGGGGUUGUUAUUUUUAUUGCAAGGGGAGCUAGCUCUUGAAAGGCAGUUAAAGCUUCUAUUUUACCUCGUGUAGGGAAUAAGCAAUGCCCGUGACCAUACUGCAAAUUUUCUGGCUGGCCUUGUGUGAGGGCAGGACAUAUGCUUAAGUCGACUUUAAUUUUCCCCAUGAAGAAUACAGUGUGUUCUUUGUGCCUUGCAUCUACCCAGUAUGGUGGUAAGGAAAACACUUCCUUUUUCUGGAGAAGAAAGAGAACAGGGGAGUGCACCAACCGAUUAUUCACAACAGGAAUGCCAGGGGCAACAAGAGGCCUGCAAAACAUUUUUUUCUGCAGUCAAAUACACCCAGCUCAUAAAGAAUGCCGUAAUUUACUUCUAGUUCCUUGCAAAGACAUUUUUGGAAGUGUUGCCUUUGCCAUCCCAGAAUCCCCAGAAUGCAGCUGUACUUUGUUAGCCAAAGUUUAAGAAUAAAAUAAAUGAGUAGUAAUAAGAAAAAACCUGACUUGGAGUUUUUAUUCUUAGAUGAUAACUUGCCAUAUUUGUGGAGGUCUUGCUAAUUAUAUUUUGUAUAACACAAAUACCUAUGGAAAUUAAGGCUGGAUAAGAGGCCCUGGAGCUUGAGAUAAUAACUAUACAGAUGUUUCACACUAGAGGUCACUCUUGCAAUCUAAGAACAAAAUUCUGAAAAGAGGAAAACACAGCAAAACAAAAGAAAAAGCAAACAACCAUCAACAACAACACAACAAUGCACAUGAUAUCAGUGCAAAAAACAAGGAUAUAGUUUUUCCUUUGAAAUCUAUGAAGAUGCUCUUAAAAUGAUCAAAUAAAUUGGUAAGGAGUCGAACUGUCAUUAUGGAGUAUGAGAGAGCUAAAAAGUAACAAUUGCUCUACUUGGCAGGAAGGCAGGCAGGCAGGCAGGUAGGUAAGUGGCCAGUUCCUCCCUGGCUUGGGACAUCAAUCUACAGCUGCCCUGAAGUGAUUAGCUUGAUAUAGAUCUAAGUAGACUGGAAUGACAUACACAUUUUAAACCAACUGAGAAGCUGGUAAGAGGAAUUGCAGGAAUUCAAUGUCGCAAUAUAUUAAAAAAUAAAUACUCUUUGUACCUGUUUGUUUAAUGAACAGUAGCUGUUAUAGUGAAAAUUCAUUUCUUAAACAGAUGGAAAAUGUCUAAAUGAGUGGACUUAAAAUCACCCUUGAGUUGUCUCAAGGGUAGGCACGUAUUUGUGCAUUAUAGAUCACUAUCUAUGUGUUUUAUGAUGUAAAGGUUUGAACUCUACUCUUACAUCUCCAUACCCUUCAUUCCUUCUGCAAACCUAAUUGGCCUGCAUAGUGCCCAAAAUUCCAUCUAUCAUUCCUUUCUCAGGUUAAUGCAUUUUACUUUCAGUUGUCCUUUAUUAAAAUUUUUAAACUCCCAGGGGAAGAGGAAUAGCAGAUAGUUUUUCCCAUCAUUCAAACCUCAAUUCAUUUUUAAGAUCCUCAUUAGGGCACCUGCCAUGAAGUCCCAAAGGGAGAUAGGACAUGUGACCCUGGAGGAAAUAUUGAUGAGGUCCAGAGGAGCAGGAGGAGAGUUAUGGGUGGUAAACCUGAAGCACCACUGGGGAGCACUUGAGUAGAGAGGGGAGCAUUGAAAAGAACAUCUGGAUAAUAAAGUUUUCAAAUUUUGUCAACCUAGUGGUAUGAGAUAGAUUUAAAAAUUUUAGCCUUUCAUCUGCUUAUCAAAUCAACAUGAUCAUUAAGAGAUCUUUAUCAUAUUUCUCUAUGAAAUAAAGGGGUAGUAAAAUAAUGAAUGUUAUUACUAAAUAGAGUCUAAUAAACAAGUUCUAGACCAAUAAUAAAUCAAAGAAAUACUGAAGCAGUAAUAUCUUUUUUCUUAAUGACAUGUUUAAAACAAAAACAACGCCAUAGAAGUAGGCUUUGGUUUCACAACCUAGGAUGUUUUGUUUACCAAGGCACAUUAGCAAAAUGUCACCAUGAAGUCCCACUGAGACUUAAGUGCUUUUCAAGAAUUUCAACCCCCAUUGCCUGGGAGAAUGACAGACAGCUAUGUUGGAAUGAAGGGAAUAAAAUUACAGGAUUGAGUUUGGAAGACUAGGCAAGUUAUUUAGGGAAAUUGUUUUUACAAUGUACAUCUUUGAAGAAAAUCAGAUGAUGUCUAAGCUUCUGUCUAAACAUAGAGAAUGAAGUGGUUACAUGACUCAAUUAUCUCCAAUAAUUUAAGCUUAAAAUAGACCUCUUUUGCCUCAGUUUUUCAGAUUCAGUUCUCUGCCAAAUUUAUAUAGGAAAUUGAUUUCACCACUCACUUUUCUCUGAAUGCAGUGAUGGAGCCGAAAGUAAUGCAGAAAAAGUGACUCUUACUGAACAACUUAGCCCUCACCAAUUUAUACUGCUGUUUUUACUGUGUUCUAUAUCCUUGGGAGAAUUUACCCUUUCUUAUUAACACCAACCACUUCCACAAUUAAUGAAAAGUGGAAGAAAUUGCCAGCCAGAAAAAUUCUGUUGGUAAACAAAAAACAAAACUCAGAAUAUAUUUAAAACAAAACAACAGAUACUCCUGAGAAAAAUUCAGCAGCUGCUUGAAGACAUUUGAAAGGAGUAAUUUAUUCGCUUUUACCUAGAAGGCAAAAAUUGAUGGCUAAGAAUCUGUUCUCUGCAACAUGAGCUGACUGCAACUUGGAAACUCAAAAAAAUCUAAGCAGUGACCUAGAGAAAAGGACAAAAAGGCACAGCAAGUUUUAUGUUCAGGGUGUGUUUCAUCCAAAAGAGAUAAAAUUGGGCCAUGUUAAAAAUAAAUAAGCCUCUCUAAGAAUUGCAUCUAGCUUUGUACUAGGACUCUUGAGAAGGUCACAGGGAAAGCAGAGAUGUGUCCAAGCCUAGAAGAUGAUGGAUUACAAAUCCCAUCCCACAGAGGAAUGUGGAAGAUGAAGCAAGAGCCAUGUAAAUUAAGAUAAUCAAAGAAAGAGAAUUUAACUGGAGGGAAAACACCUGGGUUCUAGUCCAAGAUUAUUUACUCAUUUUACAUCAUAUGACACAGAAUAAAUAACAACUUAUCUAUAUACCUUGUUAUAAUGUCACUAGAAUGUAGAUCUAGGAAGGCAAGGAUUUUUAUGUGUGAAGUUCAUCGCUACAUCCCUAGAGCAUGGAAGAGUAAUUGACACGUAGUAGGCUCUCAUAAACAUUUGCUGAAAGACUGAAUGAGUGAGGUGCAUCUCUCUAAUCUGUAAAGUAUAAUUUGUCUAGGAAUAUUGUGGCAGUUGGGUGACAGAAUGCAUGCACCGGGAUUAAUCCAGGUUUUGUGUGUCUAAAGUUUAUACAAGUCAAGGGGGAUUGUCUUAAGAAGAAUGCAAGAUUACAAAUACAAAAUUAAGUAUAAAAUUGAUUAUUUUUAGGAUGAGAAAAUAAACUGGUAUAUGUAACACAUUUUAAAAGAUGAUAAAUGCCACAAACAUCACAAAAUCCAGAAAAAAAACCCUACAUAUUUUCAUGAAUUAACUGCCUGACAUACUUCAAUAAUAACUUUUAUAACUUAUACUUGUAUUGCAUAUACUUUGUUUUUCUCUUCAUAUGACAACUUCGUAAUAUUUUCUAUAAACAGAAUGGAAAGGGAAUUCAAUAGUUCCUCUAGCAUGGUUGAUUGAGAUUUGUUUUUUAUUAAUAAGUUUAGGAAUUUUCUUCAGGUUUAUAAUUGUUAUUGCUAAUGUCAUGUAAAGUUUGAGAAUUGCUGUCAAAUUUGGGGAACACCUACCCAUUUUAAAAAUCAGUUUUCUCUCAAUUUUCUUUUAGAUAUAAAGUAUUUUUUCACAGACUGAUUUUAGCUCUCUAUAUUUCAAAGCUUAUUUCUCUUACAUUCACUUCUACUUCUGUUGCCAAUCACUUAAGGACAUGUUAUUAUCCUGAAAUGACUUCUGGUUCUGUGGCCUCUGGCCCUUGGUUUAGUCAGCACAGUGGGUGGCAGGAUGAUUUCUUGGAAGUCAUUUGAUACUGGGGUGGCUAGCAUAAUCUAACUAUAUACAGAGGUGACUGUGCACUGAAAAUGUCCUACUAAACCCAAAUUAAAUAUUUCACCAACUCAAAUUUUACUUAACUAAAGCCCUAAAAUUUUCAUGGUCACUCCAAUGCUACCAGACAAGAGAAAAAGUGUCUAAGUUAAGUUUAGUUAAAAUAUCUUCGGAAAGCUUUACAAAAACAUAUAGUCAGAUAAAAGCAUUGCUAAAGCUACUCUAGGAGGUUUGGAGGGGGUUUGUAAGGCUUAUGCCUCAUUAGCUUCAUUGCAAAUCGACCUCUGAAGAUAAGAGCACUUUGCAAAGUGCAGAGUGUUAUACAAAUACAGAUAAUAAUAAUGAUGAUAAUGAUAGUGGCAAUGACAACAAUGAUGAUGAUUGUGUAAUGUAAAAGAUCUUAAAUAUUGUAGAAGAUGACAAGUUAUGGGAGAAGCAACACUUGGAGUCAGUCUGAUGCUGUGUCUACUCCCCUCCCUUAAACAUCUCUGGUAGGAACCAAAUCCUUAUUGUCUGAUCUGAAUCUCAGGAAGCAGGAGGGAAAAACUGUUGGCUUAUAUAACUACAUAAUUAAUGUAGUGAUUCCAUAGAAAAGGGCCUCUAAAUUCUGGUCCUAACAAUGUCAAGAAUUCCCUGGAUUACCACUCUUAUUUUUACUAUGCAAUUUUGAAGAAAAAUAUAUAAUGAGAAAAAUAGCUACUAAUUCACUAAUGCUUUAACAUAAAUUGGUAUUUUAUUCAUCAUAACAGCAUUUGUACACAACUCAAACAUGCCAGUGGUGUAUAUAUGAAUAAGACAUAAUAUUGAUUCAAUCUUCAGGUGUACUUAUAUGCAUGUGCCAUAAUAUGCCUUUGCAGUUUCUAAGCCAAUUCUGACUUCAGCAGACAGUACAUUAGAACAGUCCAUCCUAUCCAUGGGUGGGUCUGGAAUUCAUCUUCCUGUCUUGAUAUUCUUUAAGCUACCAUGUCCGCUAUAGUUCCCAAGCAGUCAGCUGGCAUCAUAUAAACAAAAGGGUCAAUCAAUCUCUCUCCGUACACAUCGCAGCCCUAAAUAGCUUGCUUCUACCCACUCUGAGCACUGCCUAAUCAACUGCUGAUUCCUCUGCCACUUAAUCUCAUUAUUCUUUCUCCCACUUAUAGUCCUGCUUCAAACCUCAGGAUUGGCAUUUAAUAAUGCAUUUUUACCAAGAACUUUGCCUUCCUUCCUUGACUGAAAUUUUGGUGUUUUUUUUUUUUUUUUGAGCUAUGUUGGUUUAGGCCACUGAUAUAGUUUGGAUGUUUGUCCCCUCUAAAUCUCAUGUUGAUAUGUGAACCCCAAGGUUGAAAGUGGGGCCUAGUGGGAGUUGCUUGUGUCAUGAGGACAGAACCCUUAUGAAGGGCUUGGUGCCAUUCUCGUGGUAAUGAGCUCUCGAGAGCUCUAUUAGUUCAUGUAAGAACUGGCUAUUUAAAGAGCCUGACAUUUCCCCCCCUUUUUCUCACUUCCUCUCUCACCACAGGACAAACCUACUCCCCUACUUCCCCUUCACCUUCCUCCAUGAGUAAAAGCUUCCUAAGUCCUCAUCAGGAGCCUAGUAGAUGUGGGUGCUAUGCUUUUACAGCCUGCAGAACC